AGCACAUAGCCACUAUCUGAGGCUCACGUGCACUAGCUCUCUCACAUUCACAAAAUGUAUGGGGUUCCAGUAGGAUGAGAACAGUCUAUACAGAGAUACUGUUUAAGCAUCACAAAAGCAUUCAGCAAGUAGUCCUUCAUUUGAAAAAGCUGCAUGAACUGUGACUGACAAAUGUAAUUGCCUAUGGAUGCUGCACUAUAUUAAACCAAUGUAUAUAAGGCACUGGAGUAUGGAUGGCUCUGAUACAUCAGCUUGAAACCUGUCAUUUGGAGAUCGAGCGCUAGAUGCACAUACAACAAUACAAGCAUGCAACAGUCCAUUUCUACACAAUGAGAAGGCAC
Long non-coding RNA from Harpia harpyja (harpy eagle), 341 nucleotides. RefSeq lists it as uncharacterized. The transcript is spliced from 3 exons. The record is from RefSeq and is a predicted model, not a curated record. Lineage: Eukaryota; Metazoa; Chordata; Aves; Accipitriformes; Accipitridae.